UACGUAGGGGGCAAGCGUUGUCCGGAUUUAUUGGGCGUAAAGAGCGUGUAGGCGGCCAUGUAGGUCCGUUGUGAAAACUCGAGGCUCAACCUCAAGACGCCGAUGGAAACCAUGUGGCUAGAGUCCGGAAGAGGAGAGUGGAAUUCCUGGUGUAGCGGUGAAAUGCGCAGAUAUCAGGAAGAACACCCGUGGCGAAGGCGGCUCUCUGGGACGGUACUGACGCUGAGACGCGAAAGCGUGGGGAGCGAACAGG
RNAcentral lists this ribosomal RNA (253 nucleotides) under uncultured bacterium. Its description in RNAcentral is "partial 16S ribosomal RNA". It matches the Rfam family "Bacterial small subunit ribosomal RNA", at positions 524 to 776 of the family's 1533-position model. The record is from RNAcentral.